AGUGAACGCUGGCGGUAGGCCUAACACAUGCAAGUCGAACGGCAGCACAGUAAGAACUUGCUCUUACGGGUGGCGAGUGGCGGACGGGUGAGGAAUACAUCGGAAUCUACUUUUUCGUGGGGGAUAACGUAGGGAAACUUACGCUAAUACCGCAUACGACCUACGGGUGAAAGCAGGGGAUCUUCGGACCUUGCGCGAUUGAAUGAGCCGAUGUCGGAUUAGCUAGUUGGCGGGGUAAAGGCCCACCAAGGCGACGAUCCGUAGCUGGUCUGAGAGGAUGAUCAGCCACACUGGAACUGAGACACGGCCCAGACUCCUACGGGAGGCAGCAGUGGGGAAUAUUGGACAAUGGGCGCAAGCCUGAUCCAGCCAUACCGCGUGGGUGAAGAAGGCCUUCGGGUUGUAAAGCCCUUUUGUUGGGAAAGAAAAGCAGCAGGUUAAUACCCCGCUGUUCUGACGGUACCCAAAGAAUAAGCACCGGCUAACUUCGUG
Molecule: ribosomal RNA, 492 nt
Filed under: uncultured bacterium
Lineage: Bacteria
Description: partial 16S ribosomal RNA
Rfam family: Bacterial small subunit ribosomal RNA
Source: RNAcentral